UUGCAUGGCUGUCGUCAGCUCGUGUCGUGAGAUGUUCGGUUAAGUCCGCUAACGAGCGCAACCCUCGUCGUAUGUUAUAUGUGUCAUACGAGACUGCCGGUAAAAAGCCGGAGGAAGGUGAGGAUGAUGUCAAGUCAGCAUGACCUUUAUAUCCAGGGCUACACACACGCUACAAUGGUCUGUACAAUGGGUAGCCAAGCCGCGAGGCGGAGCCAAUCCUGAAAGCAGGCCUCAGUUCAGAUUGCAGUCUGCAACUCGACUGCAUGAAGCCGGAGUUGCUAGUAACCGCAGGUCAGCAAUACUGCGGUGAAUACGUUCCCGGGUCUU
Molecule: ribosomal RNA, 327 nt
Filed under: uncultured Anaerolineaceae bacterium
Lineage: Bacteria; Bacillati; Chloroflexota; Anaerolineae; Anaerolineales; Anaerolineaceae
Description: bacterial SSU rRNA
Rfam family: Bacterial small subunit ribosomal RNA
Source: RNAcentral